CCGAGUCUCGAACUCACAACCCACUGUGAACAUACCUUAACGUUGCUUCGGCGGGGGGCUCAGGCCCGCCGCCGGGGACCCCAAACCUCUUGUUUUCCAUGUGUUUACUCUGAGUAACCUGAAAAUAAAUCA
RNAcentral lists this unclassified non-coding RNA (132 nucleotides) under uncultured Sordariomycetes. RNAcentral describes it as "sequence contains ITS1". The record is from RNAcentral. Lineage: Eukaryota; Fungi; Ascomycota; Sordariomycetes.